UACGUAGGGUGCAAGCGUUGUCCGGAAUUAUUGGGCGUAAAGAGCUCGUAGGCGGUUUGUCGCGUCUGCUGUGAAAACCCGAGGCUCAACCUCGGGCCUGCAGUGGGUACGGGCAGACUAGAGUGCGGUAGGGGAGACUGGAAUUCCUGGUGUAGCGGUGGAAUGCGCAGAUAUCGCUUGGAACGCCAAAGGUGAAAACAGGUUGCUGGGGGUUGUGCCGACGCUGAGACACGAAAGCCAGGGGAGCAAACGGG
Molecule: ribosomal RNA, 254 nt
Filed under: uncultured bacterium
Lineage: Bacteria
Description: partial 16S ribosomal RNA
Rfam family: Bacterial small subunit ribosomal RNA
Source: RNAcentral